RNAcentral lists this signal recognition particle RNA (91 nucleotides) under Candidatus Ancillula kalotermitis. RNAcentral describes it as "signal recognition particle sRNA small type". It matches the Rfam family "Bacterial small signal recognition particle RNA". Rfam says of the family: The signal recognition particle (SRP) is a universally conserved ribonucleoprotein involved in the co-translational targeting of proteins to membranes. Archaeal SRP consists of a 7S RNA and homologues of the eukaryotic SRP19 and SRP54 proteins. The record is from RNAcentral. Lineage: Bacteria; Bacillati; Actinomycetota; Actinomycetes; Bifidobacteriales; Bifidobacteriaceae.
GAUGCUUAGUGCGGGCAAGGCUCACCUCACCUCCCCAGGGCGGAAACGCAGCAAGGAAAGGCAUUGUUCUUGUGGUGCACUAGGCUUUUUG